This 429-nucleotide ribosomal RNA is filed under the name Acidobacteriota bacterium. RNAcentral describes it as "Acidobacteria bacterium partial 16S ribosomal RNA". It matches the Rfam family "Bacterial small subunit ribosomal RNA", at positions 355 to 776 of the family's 1533-position model. The record is from RNAcentral. Lineage: Bacteria; Pseudomonadati; Acidobacteriota.
UGGGGAAUUUUGGACAAUGGGGGAAACCCUGAUCCAGCCAUCCCGCGUGUGCGAUGAAGGCCUUCGGGUUGUAAAGCACUUUUGGCAGGAAAGAAACGUCAUGGGUUAAUACCCCGUGAAACUGACGGUACCUGCAGAAUAAGCACCGGCUAACUACGUGCCAGCAGCCGCGGUAAUACGUAGGGUGCAAGCGUUAAUCGGAAUUACUGGGCGUAAAGCGUGCGCAGGCGGUUCGGAAAGAAAGAUGUGAAAUCCCAGAGCUCAACUUUGGAACUGCAUUUUUAACUACCGGGCUAGAGUGUGUCAGAGGGAGGUGGAAUUCCGCGUGUAGCAGUGAAAUGCGUAGAUAUGAGGAGGAACACCGAUGGCGAAGGCAGCCUCCUGGGAUAACACUGACGCUAAUGCACGAAAGCGUGGGGAGCAAACAGG